CUGGUCUAUUCAUGAGAACCCCAUGUGCUGUGUGCCCACCAUUGAGGUGCAGAGUAGCAUGGCCACAAAGGAUGGCAGCGUUUCAGAAGGUCCUCUCCUUACAGUUGAAGUCUCUGUUCAGGAUAAAGUUUGUGGUUAAACCACAAAACCAGAAAAUCCAACAAAUGUAGUAAAAUUAUAAAAAAGUGAAAAAAAGGUGUUAAUUAUGGUCUAAACUGCUGAAAUAAAGAGGAAGAGAGUUUUAUAUUGCAAUAUUUAACUUAAAAACAUUUGAUGUUGGUCUUGUUUGUAAAGUAAAUGAUUUGUGUCACGAAUUAACAUCAGACUGAGCGCCUGAAACUUUUUCCAUGAAACUGACUUUGCAAUAAAGUUUAUCUUCCUUGACUAAUACCUACAUUUAAAAUAUUUGUCCUACACUUUUAAAUAAAAUACUGUGCUUCAAAUCUCCAUGAAGUGCUGGUAUUAAAACAGGCCUGAAGGCCCAAACUUUGCUCUUCAGCUCCUGUUAGCACACAGGCUACUUACAGGUGUAAAUUUAAAACAGUUUAAAUCUGCUGGAAGAAAAAAAAAGAGAACGAAACAGCAAAAAACCCAAAUAAACAAAGAAGGAAAAAUACAAAAACUCAACAACAAAACGCACACAAAAUCAAGAAGACAACAGUGCAGUAGCACCCAGUGUUUGAACCCUUCGUGGCCUAAAAUCUGGACGACCAAUUACAGCAAAAAGCAUAUGAUGAAGUCCCUCACAGCCACAGAGCGUUCAUCCUUACAUGUGCGAUGGACAUCUCCGCCAGUCAGUCUUCCUCCCUCGGCUCUGGGCCGAAUUUCAGCGGCGUCGCUGUCGACGUCUGACCGCACUUGUUCCACUUCUCCAUCUUUCACUCUCUCUGCCUCUGCCUCCUCUGAUCCGGCGUCCUUCUUCCUCUCCUUCUUCAACCCUUUCUGUCCGGCCCUCCCUCCGCCUUUACAUUUCCUUCGCCCCUGUCUUUCUCAAUUUCCCCGCCCUCUCUCUCUCUCUUUCUG
Astatotilapia calliptera (eastern happy) is the source of this 1023-nucleotide long non-coding RNA. NCBI's taxonomy places the organism in Eukaryota, Metazoa, Chordata, Actinopteri, Cichliformes, Cichlidae. The record is from Ensembl.